CACACCCAUUACUGUAAGUCGCUUUGGAGAAAAGUGUCUGCUAAAUGGAAUAUA
Salmo salar (Atlantic salmon) is the source of this 54-nucleotide non-coding RNA. Lineage: Eukaryota; Metazoa; Chordata; Actinopteri; Salmoniformes; Salmonidae. The record is from Rfam.